UACGAAGGGGGCUAGCGUUGUUCGGAAUUACUGGGCGUAAAGCGCACGUAGGCGGACAUUUAAGUCAGGGGUGAAAUCCCGGGGCUCAACCCCGGAACUGCCUUUGAUACUGGGUGUCUAGAGUCCGGAAGAGGUGAGUGGAAUUCCGAGUGUAGAGGUGAAAUUCGUAGAUAUUCGGAGGAACACCAGUGGCGAAGGCGGCUCACUGGUCCGGUACUGACGCUGAGGUGCGAAAGCCAGGGGAGCAAACGGG
Molecule: ribosomal RNA, 253 nt
Filed under: uncultured bacterium
Lineage: Bacteria
Description: partial 16S ribosomal RNA
Rfam family: Bacterial small subunit ribosomal RNA
Source: RNAcentral